This 517-nucleotide ribosomal RNA is filed under the name Thyenula nelshoogte. Its description in RNAcentral is "partial 16S ribosomal RNA". The stretch from base 128 to 422 matches the Rfam family "Bacterial large subunit ribosomal RNA", at positions 2074 to 2646 of the family's 2925-position model. The record is from RNAcentral. Lineage: Eukaryota; Metazoa; Arthropoda; Arachnida; Araneae; Salticidae.
AUAGUGCUAAGGUAGCAUAAUCAUUUGUCUUUUAAAUAAAGACUAGAACAAAAGAUUUCACAUUUUCAUCUAUUUAUUUUAUUUUAUUAUAAAAAUUUUCUUAAAUGUAAAAAGACAUUUAUAAAAGAAAAAGACGAUAAGACCCUAUUGAACUUAACUUAAGUUAAACUGGGGCAGUAAAUUAAUUAUUAUUUUAAUUAAAAUAAUUAAACAAUUAUCCAAUAAAAUUGAAUCAUCAAGUUACCAUAGGGAUAACAGCGCAAUUAUAUUCCAAAGAUCUUAUAUUAAAAAUAGAUUACGACCUCGAUGUUGAAUUAAUAACCUAAUUAAAGCAAAAGCUAAAAUAGGAAGUCUGUUCGACUUUUAAAAAAUUACAUGAUUUGAGUUCAGACCGGUGUAAGCCAGGUCGGUUUCUAUCUUUUAGAAAAAUUUCUACAGUACGAAAGGACCUAAAAAUAUAAUUUAAUUAAUUAAUUGGCAGAUUAAUGCAUUAGAAUUAGAAUCUAAUAAAUCUAUA